Molecule: signal recognition particle RNA, 266 nt
Filed under: Clostridia bacterium
Lineage: Bacteria; Bacillati; Bacillota; Clostridia
Description: signal recognition particle sRNA large type
Rfam family: Bacterial large signal recognition particle RNA
About the family: The signal recognition particle (SRP) is a universally conserved ribonucleoprotein involved in the co-translational targeting of proteins to membranes. Archaeal SRP consists of a 7S RNA and homologues of the eukaryotic SRP19 and SRP54 proteins.
Source: RNAcentral
UCGUGCUAAGCGGGGAGUUAGCGGUGCCCUGUACCUGCAAUCCGCUACAGCAGGGUCUAAUCCCCAUCACGAGGCGCAUGUUUGCGAGGCAGGCGCCGGUAAGGAACGUCGAGGGCCGGGUCCUGUGCAAUCGGCAUCUGCGAACCAUGUCAGGCCUUGACGGGAGCAGCAUUAAGCAGAGCCGCCGGUGUGCCGCGGGUUCGCCUGGCCGGAGUCACCUGCCGGAGUUCCGCUCGGGGGCACUGCGUCGAAUGAUGGGUGCACGA